CCCCUCUGAGGGUGGCACCUGGAGAGUUUCCAGUACUCUUCCAGUCAUUACUACAGGAGGUAGAGUCAAGCAGAGGCCUCCCCAUUCCAUUCCUAGCUUGGGGAGUGGCUAGUGAGUGGAAGGCAAUCUGCUACAAGU
RNAcentral lists this small nucleolar RNA (138 nucleotides) under Ornithorhynchus anatinus (platypus). Lineage: Eukaryota; Metazoa; Chordata; Mammalia; Monotremata; Ornithorhynchidae. The record is from RNAcentral.